UUUUAACUGGAGGCUAUAUUUUGGGUUGCUGUGGACUGCAUGUCUAGAAGAUUCAGCAUCAUCACGGUAUCUCAAAAAAUCAUAGAAACCAUGAACAAAAAUUAAACAAAUUAAGCAUGCUUCUGGUCAGCCAAUGAAUGACAGUGCUCAUCCUACUGAAGAUAAUGUAUUUGCUGCUUAAUAGUCCUCAUUAACAAAGUAAAUAUCCUUCUGGGUAUAUAAAGAGGUGGACCCAAGCCAUGAAGCUACUGAAGUAUCACGUUAGCAUGAAAAAAAGACUAUGAGAAUGAAAAGAGGGAGGUGGUGAGAGGUGAUUAAUUAUUCAUCUCUGUUUUCUGCACAUCUUGCAAAUUCAGCUUUGGUGCCUUAUGUCUUGCAUCUUUGGAAAUUAUUAACUGCAUGUUAAGAACAUUAAUUCAUCAUUAUGGAUUUAUAACAACUGUAUUUGCAAUCAGCUCUAUUAUGGGCUUCACAAAACGUGCUGAUAGCCUUUUACCCUAUAUAUGAGAAUAAACAAACAUGAAGAUUUUAGAGGCUCCCUCUGCUUAUUUUAACUGCAAUAAAACAUGCUUCACAGAAUGUAGAAUUUAGUAGCUGAAAGAAAUGGCCUCUCUUGAUUUUGAUCCAUUCAUUACUGUGCACUUGUUUCAAUAGAUACAACCUUUCCUCUGCGAGAAACACUGCUUGAUCUCUUUCACAUUCUGCAGACAAUACAGUAAUAAACCGAAAUAAAGCCUGGUACUACAAUGUGAUGAGAGCCUUCGGAGAGCAAAAGAGGCUUCCACCUUCUUUGUCUUACAGGACUGGAUACUUCGCAUGACAGCAAGACUGAUGGAAACAAUGUCACUGGAGGCAAUUCACACCUUUUGUCAGAGAGGGGGAGAAGAGAAAGUUUAUAUUAUUUUCACAAGGAUGAUUUGUAAAGUGCUUUCCCAUGAGCUGAAAGGGUCCUCAGAGCCUUACUUUCAAACAGUGAUGCUGCUUACUGUGAAGUAUAUCUUGAAAUUCAACAGCAAAAAUAGCAAUAUUGUUACUCAGUCAUUUACAGCUGAAAUUUUCACUGCAGUUGCUUGAAUGUGGCGGAAAUCCCAGGGCAGAUAUGCAUUUGAGAUUAAUCUUUUUGAGUUUGUUGCCUUAGAGGACACUGGUAACAUAUUACCUUUCUACAAUAAAAGACGUAGAUAUGGGAAAGUCAUCUAGUCCCCGUCGCUAACAGUGCAGAUUGCCCUCUGCUGUGUUCCCUAGUGCUUUGUCCAGUCUAUUUUUAAAUGGACUAAGUGAUGAGAAUUUCUGCAGAGGAGAGUUCACAGGCAGCCCUCUCUCCUCUAACAAAGCUCUGAACAGAUAAAGAAUAAUAAGAAUAUAUAUAUAUAUAUUUAUUAAGCCUUCUCUCUUUCAACUACCGAAGCCCUUAGAAUACUAAGCAGCCACCAUAAAUUUAUUGUUCCAAACAAGAUCAGCAAUGUUAAAAAGAAAUCAGUAAUAAUCAUACAAAAAUAAAAUAAAAUAAAAUAAAAUAAAAU
Long non-coding RNA from Gallus gallus (chicken), 1523 nucleotides. The record is from Ensembl. Lineage: Eukaryota; Metazoa; Chordata; Aves; Galliformes; Phasianidae.